CCUACGGGAGGCAGCAGUGAGGAAUAUUGGUCAAUGGGCGAGAGCCUGAACCAGCCAAGUCGCGUGAGGGAGUACUGCCCUAUGGGUUGUAAACCGCUUUUGUCGGGGAGCAAAAGCCGGACGUGUCCGGCUGUGAGAGUACCCGAAGAAAAAGCAUCGGCCAACUCCGUGCCAGCAGCCGCGGUAAUACGGAGGAUGCGAGCGUUAUCCGGAUUUAUUGGGUUUAAAGGGUGCGCAGGCGGAUUUUUAAGUAAGCGGUAAAAUCGUGGGGGUUAACCCCAUCCAGCCGUUGAAACUGGGGAUCUAGAGUGUGCGAGAGGUAUGCGGAAUGCGUGGUGUAGCGGUGAAAUGCAUAGAUAUCACGCAGAACCCCGAUUGCGAAGGCAGCAUACCGGUGCACAACUGACGCUCAGGCACGAAAGCGUGGGUAUCGAACAGGAUUAGAUACCCUGGUAGUC
RNAcentral lists this ribosomal RNA (458 nucleotides) under uncultured bacterium. RNAcentral's name for it is "partial 16S ribosomal RNA". It matches the Rfam family "Bacterial small subunit ribosomal RNA", at positions 338 to 795 of the family's 1533-position model. The record is from RNAcentral.